GAAAAGAAAAAGAAAGUCAUACAUGCAAAUUCGAAAUUUCUGGUACUCCUAUUUAAAAAGUAAAAAGAGACUAGUUACAUCACAUAUUUAAUAAUACAUUUUAUUUAUGUCAAUAUAGCCUAAAUAUUCUCAUUUAAAAAUGUAAUAGUUAUGAGAAUUAUUGACGAGAUUCUUCUAUUCUUUUUUUUAUGCUAAGAGUUUUGAACUUAGUGAUCAUGAAAAGUGAAAAAAAAAAAGUCCUGGAAAAAUGCUGGAGGUAAAAUGUUAAGUUAAAAUAAAAAAACAGCACAAACGCAAACGUACCCUGGGACUGUGACAAUGUCAGCCUGAUCUCUAUGUCCAGGGCCAAGGCCUAGAGAAGGACGUGGGAAAGGAAGCAGUCUGUGCGGGUGGGUGGCGCGGGCCGCCGGGCUCUUGUUCCCCUCAGCCACACCACCGGUCUCUGUUUUCACCUGUUCUUUGAAUCUCAUCACCUAAGUAAUAGAUAUUCCUCGUAGCAAAAUACGACAGCGUAGAAAGCAAACUGAGGAAAAUAAAAGCCACCCACAACGCAUUGAUCAGACUCAGUUGCCAUUAGGACUCAGUCAUUAUAAAUCAUUUUUACAAAACACAUUAAACUUGUAGGUUUGGAAGGCAGAUCAGGUGGUGCUGUGAGCUGGUACUGAACGGAGCAGAGUCCAGGCCGCCUGUCCCCCACGUCCUCGGGCCUUUCUGUUUCUGCCCACGGAGCUCGUUCAUGCAAAAGGAGCCGUGGUUAUGGACGUCACUUAAUUAUUUCACACUUUUUCUCCAGAAAGCACAUGAAGAGGCUGUGGGCAGGAGAUAAACACUUUCUCCCUUUGCGGUUCCACAAUCCUUCCCCGUCUGAGAGUGUGGUAAGUCUGAGUCUGAGCCAUGAGCCCAAAUCUGCCUCUUUGGGGUGUGGGGAACCUCUGAGACUGGUAAGGGGGUCAGAGGGAAAGAAGGUUCUCUCCUGCUCUGAGGUCACUGUUUCCUUCUAAAUCUCAGGUGGCCAUUGCAAGGUACUCCGGCUGGCAAAUAGCUUAUAUUCUGUGGGGUAAGUGCCACCUGGGACCUGUGCGACUCAACACAUGUUUCCUGGGAGGGAGGAGAGGUGAGUGGGAAGCAGCCCUACUUCUGCCCUCAAGGGACCUUCAGGAUGGGGGAGAAACACACAGGUCCAUCAUCCUGUCACCCUCCCCGCCUGUCCUGAACUCACAGGCCAUGGAUGUUAAGGUCUGCGAUCACUAGAGGAGGAAGUGACUAACCCCAGCCAGGACAGGGCUCCGAGGCUCUCUAGGGGAGUCUGCAUUUGAACCGCACCUGGCCAGGUGGGAAGAGAAGAGUGGGAAGACAGGGGAGGCCAUGCCAGGCAGCAGGAAUAGCAUCAGCAACCAUGCCAGGGCCUCUGGUGGACUGCCGGGAAGACACGGGGGCAGAUCAUGACCACCCCCAAGUGAGCCUUACUCCCCUGUCCCUAGGCUACCUCAUCAUCCAUGUGAUGCAGAGCCUGUGUGGCCUGAUGAUCAUGUAUGGCCUGGUGCUUCCUGUCACCCACCACAGGGGCCUGGAGAUGCUCCGAAGGCUGGGACUUGGGAUGUAAGUGCUGAGUGGGUGGUCUGUCCUUCCUGAGUCCUGGGAGCCAAUCCCUGGGCCUCUGAUCAUCUUGGGCCCUCACCUCAACUGACCAGGAACGGAAGCUUCCAGUUUGAAAAAAGCUUUCUCUCCUACCGUUACAAUGAGCCUUUAUAACUCUGUGUGUGUGUGUGAGAGAGAGAGAGAGGGAGAGAGGGAGAGAGAGAGAUGAUGUGCAUUUUCCAUCUGGGAAAACGGAAUUCUCAGGAGGUGAGGGAGAAACAGGACAGCAUGAUGGAAGGAGGCAAGGAAUAAUCCUGGCUAAAUUUUUAGAUGUGCUUUGUGACUUGAGGCAAAUGCCUCGCCUUCUCUGAGCCUCAGUUUACCCAUCUGGAAAAUGGUGAAUGCUGGUAUCCUUGAGCAUUUAUUAUGUGUCUUUCCUCAUGUCAGCUCUGUGAGUU
RNAcentral lists this long non-coding RNA (2036 nucleotides) under Marmota monax (woodchuck). The record is from RNAcentral. Lineage: Eukaryota; Metazoa; Chordata; Mammalia; Rodentia; Sciuridae.